This 748-nucleotide ribosomal RNA is filed under the name uncultured Cloacibacterium sp. RNAcentral describes it as "bacterial SSU rRNA". It matches the Rfam family "Bacterial small subunit ribosomal RNA", at positions 28 to 776 of the family's 1533-position model. Lineage: Bacteria; Pseudomonadati; Bacteroidota; Flavobacteriia; Flavobacteriales; Weeksellaceae. The record is from RNAcentral.
GAUGAACGCUAGCGGGAGGCCUAACACAUGCAAGCCGAGCGGUAUUGUUUCUUCGGAAAUGAGAGAGCGGCGUACGGGUGCGGAACACGUGUGCAACCUGCCUUUAUCUGGGGGAUAGCCUUUCGAAAGGAAGAUUAAUACUCCAUAACAUAUUGAUUGGCAUCAAUUAAUAUUGAAAGCUCCGGCGGAUAGAGAUGGGCACGCGCAAGAUUAGCUAGUUGGUGAGGUAACGGCCCACCAAGGCGAUGAUCUUUAGGGGGCCUGAGAGGGUGAUCCCCCACACUGGUACUGAGACACGGACCAGACUCCUACGGGAGGCAGCAGUGAGGAAUAUUGGUCAAUGGGUGCAAGCCUGAACCAGCCAUCCCGCGUGAAGGACGACUGCCCUAUGGGUUGUAAACUUCUUUUGUAUAGGGAUAAACCUACCCUCGUGAGGGUAGCUGAAGGUACUAUACGAAUAAGCACCGGCUAACUCCGUGCCAGCAGCCGCGGUAAUACGGAGGGUGCAAGCGUUAUCCGGAUUUAUUGGGUUUAGAGGGUCCGUAGGCGGACUUAUAAGUCAGUGGUGAAAGCCUGUCGCUUAACGAUAGAACUGCCAUUGAUACUGUAAGUCUUGAGUAUAUUUGAGGUAGCUGGAAUAAGUAGUGUAGCGGUGAAAUGCAUAGAUAUUACUUAGAACACCAAUUGCGAAGGCAGGUUACCAAGAUAUAACUGACGCUGAGGGACGAAAGCGUGGGGAGCGAACAGG